GGGUCAGUAGGUUGGUCGUGCCACCGGUACGUACUGGUCUCACUGAUUCCUCCUUCCUGAAGAACCGUAAUGCCGUUAAUUUGGUGUUGCGGGGAAACAGGACUGUUGCUUUGAAAAAAUUAGAGUGUUUAAAGCAAGCUAACGCUUGAAUACAUUAGCAUGGAAUAAUGAAAUAGGACGAUCGAUCCUAUUUUGUUGGUUUCUAGGAUUGACGUA
RNAcentral lists this ribosomal RNA (216 nucleotides) under Glomeromycotina sp. Its description in RNAcentral is "partial small subunit ribosomal RNA". The stretch from base 40 to 216 matches the Rfam family "Eukaryotic small subunit ribosomal RNA", at positions 686 to 864 of the family's 1831-position model. Lineage: Eukaryota; Fungi; Glomeromycota. The record is from RNAcentral.